CUGUAGCUCAGUGGUAGAGCAUUUUUUGGCAUGCAAAAGGUCCCAGGUUCAAUCCCUGGUAUCUGGA
Molecule: transfer RNA, 67 nt
Filed under: Sphaerodactylus townsendi
Lineage: Eukaryota; Metazoa; Chordata; Lepidosauria; Squamata; Sphaerodactylidae
Description: tRNA-Ala
Rfam family: tRNA
About the family: Transfer RNA (tRNA) molecules are approximately 80 nucleotides in length. Their secondary structure includes four short double-helical elements and three loops (D, anti-codon, and T loops). Further hydrogen bonds mediate the characteristic L-shaped molecular structure. tRNAs have two regions of fundamental functional importance: the anti-codon, which is responsible for specific mRNA codon recognition, and the 3' end, to which the tRNAs corresponding amino acid is attached (by aminoacyl-tRNA synthetases). tRNAs cope with the degeneracy of the genetic code in two manners: having more than one tRNA (with a specific anti-codon) for a particular amino acid; and 'wobble' base-pairing, i.e. permitting non-standard base-pairing at the 3rd anti-codon position.
Source: RNAcentral